UUUCGCAAUGCCCGAAAGGGUGACGAAGCGACGCCGCGUGAGUGAGGAAGGCCUUCGGGUUGUAAAGCUCUGUCAGGAGUUAAGAAAUAUAAGUGUGCUAAUGCCACAUUUAUUUGACGAAGGCUCCAAAGGAAGCCACGGCUAACUCUGUGCCAGCAGCCGCGGUAAUACAGAGGUGGCAAGCGUUGUUCGGAAUUAUUGGGCGUAAAGAGCACGUAGGUGGGUUUGUAAGUCAGAUGUGAAAGCCUUCUGUUCAACGGAAGAAUUGCAUCUGAAACUGCGAGUCUUGAGUGUAGGAGGGGAGAAUGGAACUUCUGGUGGAGCGGUGAAAUGCGUAGAUAUCAGGAGGAACGCCGGCGGCGAAAGCGAUUCUCUGGCCUAUUACUGACACUCAGUGUGCGAAAGCUAGGGGAGCAAACGGGAUUAGAUACCCCGGUAGUCCUAGCCGUAAACGAUGGGCACUAAGUAGAGGGGUUUUA
Molecule: ribosomal RNA, 479 nt
Filed under: uncultured anaerobic ammonium-oxidizing bacterium
Lineage: Bacteria
Description: bacterial SSU rRNA
Rfam family: Bacterial small subunit ribosomal RNA
Source: RNAcentral